This is a non-coding RNA of Equus caballus (horse), 516 nucleotides long. The record is from RefSeq and is a predicted model, not a curated record. Lineage: Eukaryota; Metazoa; Chordata; Mammalia; Perissodactyla; Equidae.
CAGGUAUAAUGUUGGCUCGCCCUGUGAAUCCACUGACUAGAAACGCUGUUGAAGAAAAAUCACAUACUUAUGCCAAAAAGCAAGGCAUAGAAGACAGAAGCAGAUUUACUGAGAGACUGAGCAUGAACAGAACUGCUCCAAGACCCAGAAGACAUCACAGUGAGGAGAGACUUCCUCUGAGAUUCUUAUAGAAUCCAACAGUGCUCUGCUCCCUCGGGGGGCUGCAGCUAUGGGAACAUGGGUAUGGUGCCACAUACCCAUCAGUCAUAGCAACAGGAGAGCUUCUUCAAACUACUUUGAUGGUAGUGACGUUAGCCUGAGGAAGCCAGAACCAGAAAGGAAGAAUAUGAAGAUGUCACACUGGGAGUGUGGGCACCUGUGAGGCCUCCCUUUGGAGACCGGCAGACAUAAUUGCAAGACACUUGCAUGCUGAGGUCUUGUAAACAUACUGCUGGAGGCAUUGUAAUUCGGGCAUUAAUAAUAAAAGAGGUCUAAUUUAUAUACAUAGACUGGCAA